RNAcentral lists this ribosomal RNA (497 nucleotides) under uncultured bacterium. RNAcentral describes it as "partial 16S ribosomal RNA". It matches the Rfam family "Bacterial small subunit ribosomal RNA", at positions 28 to 507 of the family's 1533-position model. The record is from RNAcentral.
GACGAACGCUGGCGGCGUGCCUAAUACAUGCAAGUUGAGCGCUGAAGGUUGGUACUUGUACCGACUGGAUGAGCAGCGAACGGGUGAGUAACGCGUGGGGAAUCUGCCUUUGAGCGGGGGACAACAUUUGGAAACGAAUGCUAAUACCGCAUAAAAACUUUAAACACAAGUUUUAAGUUUGAAAGAUGCAAUUGCAUCACUCAAAGAUGAUCCCGCGUUGUAUUAGCUAGUUGGUGAGGUAAAGGCUCACCAAGGCGACGAUACAUAGCCGACCUGAGAGGGUGAUCGGCCACAUUGGGACUGAGACACGGCCCAAACUCCUACGGGAGGCAGCAGUAGGGAAUCUUCGGCAAUGGACGAAAGUCUGACCGAGCAACGCCGCGUGAGUGAAGAAGGUUUUCGGAUCGUAAAACUCUGUUGGUAGAGAAGAACGUUGGUGAGAGUGGAAAGCUCAUCAAGUGACGGUAACUACCCAGAAAGGGACGGCUAACUACGUG